GACGAACGCUGGCGGCGUGCCUAACACAUGCAAGUCGAACGGAGAAGUUCAGCAAUGGAUUUCUUAGUGGCGAACGUGUGAGUAACGCGUAGACAACCUGCCUCUAAGCUGGGGACAACAACUCGAAAGGGUUGCUAAUACCGAAUGUGAACAGUGCCUCGCAUGAGAUGCUGUUUGAAGGUGGCCUCUGAAUAUGCUACCGCUUAGAGAUGGGUCUGCGUCUGAUUAGCUAGUUGGAGGGGUAAUGGCCCACCAAGGCGACGAUCAGUAGCCGGUCUGAGAGGAUGAACGGCCACACUGGGACUGAGACACGGCCCAGACUCCUACGGGAGGCAGCAGUGGGGAAUCUUCCGCAAUGGACGAAAGUCUGACGGAGCAACGCCGCGUGAGUGAAGAAGGCCCUCGGGUCGUAAAGCUCUGUCUUCAGGGACGAAUGUGCAGAUUGUGAAUAAAGUACUGUAAUGACGGUACCUGACGAGGAAGCCACGGCUAACUACGUGCCAGCAGCCGCAGUAA
This 516-nucleotide ribosomal RNA is filed under the name uncultured bacterium. Its description in RNAcentral is "partial 16S ribosomal RNA". It matches the Rfam family "Bacterial small subunit ribosomal RNA", at positions 28 to 523 of the family's 1533-position model. The record is from RNAcentral.